Gasterosteus aculeatus aculeatus (three-spined stickleback) is the source of this 1577-nucleotide long non-coding RNA. The record is from Ensembl. NCBI's taxonomy places the organism in Eukaryota, Metazoa, Chordata, Actinopteri, Perciformes, Gasterosteidae.
AGUCGCCGGUGAAGUUGACCAACUCCAGGAACUGCGUCUGGAUGACUCCCGCUUCCAGCACUACUUUAGGCUAACCAGUAGCCAGUUUUUAUAACCUGUUUGGUUGGAUCGGAGCCAGGAUCUCUCGGUUGGACACCACCUACAGGCGUUCAAUCUCAGCUGUGGAACACCUAUCUGUCUCUGCAUAUCAAUCCCCCCCUAUGGUUAAGAGUGAGAAGAGACGGCUCCUUCUGUUUCUUCUGUCUCCAUUAGCUCCCUGGUGGAUCCGCCUGAUGUGAAGUGACUGCAGCUGUAAUCUCUCACUAAGUUUGUAUAUUCUUCCACUUGGCAUGAUUUAACAACUUCUCAUACUCUUUACUGAAGACUUUUUUUCGCAGUCGAGCAGUGGUGCAGUGGAAUCAGACAAUGAAUGUUGCAGUAUUGCGGCCUUGCCCGCGCAGACUCAGUAAUGUAGUCGACGGUGCACAAAGCGCUGCUCCCUUUUUCAAACUGCUUAUCCAGGCUGAAUCCAGGUGGGAAAUCAUUCUUUUACAGUUAGUUUCCUUUCAUAAGCGCUGGUUGGGGCUUAGCUCUGCUGUGUUUGUACUAGCACACACACACAAAAUCACUUUUCAGAAUCGUCGAAAGAACAAAUAUGGUAGUGACACCAAGGCUGGGGUUGGCUUUCCAGAUAGAGUUUCCUGUUAUCAAUAUUGCUUUGAUGGCAAAAAAAAAAAAAUCUGCACUUGGUGGUCGUGUGCCCAAUGUGCAUAAAUACAAUCAUCCACCUUCACCGGUUGAGUAAUGUUUGGCUCUUUUCUGUGAGAAUCAAAAUAAGUCCUCUUGACAUAAAGAGCAGCAUGCAAUACCUCACGGAGAGUGAUUCUGAAAAGGAUGGAGGUGACUCGCUUUCUUCUUGGAUUGUUACAGUAUAACAAGCUUGUCUCAACAAUGUAUUCCAAGGCAAUUGUUGCAGGCGACACACAGAUAUCACGCAGUGCCGGAGUUCCUCUGAGGCUACGUUGGGGUGUGACAAUCACAGGGGGAUUGGCAAACUGUUGUACUGGGUCCCCUGACUCAGAGAGCAGUCAAUUAAAACAAAAACAAAAAGUCAACGGAGUGAGAUGUAGAGUUUUGUUGUAAAUCAUUAUUCCUUAUACUGGUAAGUUAGGGUCCUCUCAUCCUGAGGAACUACAUGCCUUAUUUGCAGCUUGACGACAGAUUACUGGUAUGUAUUCCUUGCCUUUUUUUUUAAGUUGCCGUGUCCUUUUUGUUUUUUUAAUAAUCAGUUGUUUCAUUUGAAUAAAGUAUUUGUAGCUAAAAUUCAUUUUGACAGUUUGAAAAAGGAAAAAAAGAAAGCCCGAGGAUCCCUUUUUUUGUAGCAGAACUAUUUGCAAAUAUCUGUGCGAAAAUCUUUUGAAUAUGUUUAUUCAGAUUCACAAAUCUGUAGAGUAGUCUAAAUGCCUAGUAAGUAGUAGUUAAAUUAAAUUGAUACAAAAAUCUGCCAGUGAGUAUUUGGAAUCAGCGUCUGCGUCUGCAGACCCAAAUGCAUACCACAGGAGCCAGAAUAGGAAGAGAAUUCAUUGGUUGCGCCAAAA